Molecule: ribosomal RNA, 253 nt
Filed under: uncultured bacterium
Lineage: Bacteria
Description: partial 16S ribosomal RNA
Rfam family: Bacterial small subunit ribosomal RNA
Source: RNAcentral
UACGGAGGGUGCGAGCGUUGUCCGGAAUCACUGGGCGUAAAGGGCGCGUAGGCGGCCUGAUAAGUAGGGGGUGAAAUCUUGCGGCUUAACCGCAAGGCUGCCUUCUAAACUGUCAGGCUAGAGCACAGUAGAGGCAGGUGGAAUUCCCGGUGUAGCGGUGGAAUGCGUAGAGAUCGGGAAGAACAUCAGUGGCGAAGGCGGCCUGCUGGGCCGAUACUGACGCUGAUGCGCGAAAGCCAGGGGAGCGAACGGG